This 631-nucleotide long non-coding RNA is filed under the name Fukomys damarensis (Damara mole-rat). RNAcentral's name for it is "lncRNA (ENSFDAG00000022464.1)". The record is from RNAcentral. Lineage: Eukaryota; Metazoa; Chordata; Mammalia; Rodentia; Bathyergidae.
GGAGACAUGCUGUGACGCUGCUAUGAACCUGCCUAUUCACUGGAUGCCGCUCGGCAUAGCACUCGCUUUACAAAGACACUCACCAAAGAGGACUUCAAGAACUACUUCAGGAAGUGCCACGGAAGAUGGGAUGGGUGUGUUGGAAGUUGGGAACAGUUAAUAUUUCCAUCAAUGCAUGUAAGUAACUCUUUCUGUGGUGCAUCUACUAGACACCAAGAAGACAAAAAGGAGACAAGGCCCGUGCUUUAAAGAGGGAUAUUGGCUAAUUAAGAAAGUGGGACAAUACUGAAUAAAAACUCAAAUGGAUUGAUGUAAUGCAGCUUUGAAGAGCUAUAUUCUGAGGCUCCAUUUUGGAGUAUAGUUUAACAACAGAGACUCUCUGUGCUCUCAGAAACAUCGUCCCGGAACAAAUACAGAGGAGAAUGGGUUAGACACAGACACAGCUGAAAGCAGAAAAGCUAAAGAAGCAAGAUGAUAAGGCUGUAAAAUAAAAGUGGUAAAUCCGCAGUCCAUAACUCUUUUUCAGGAUUUUUUCUUCAUUUUCCAUGUAGGUGGGGUCACUCAUUCUCUUUAACUGAAUAUCACAUGUGACCCAUUGAAGACAUCUGAUCUCCAUUUUUUUCAUGAUCCC